This is a long non-coding RNA of Cavia porcellus (domestic guinea pig), 224 nucleotides long. RefSeq lists it as uncharacterized. The record is from RefSeq and is a predicted model, not a curated record. Lineage: Eukaryota; Metazoa; Chordata; Mammalia; Rodentia; Caviidae. The transcript has 3 exons.
AGAAACCGCUGUAAGGGUAGGAACCCUGACACACACUGCCUUACCCACCGUGCCUUUCAAAAUCGUGGAGUCUUUUGGUGGAAUUGUCUGGGGCAUGUAGGUAUGACCUACAGGAUCGUGUCAUUUGCAGGUCUUCGAGAGCUAUGUGAAGGAUGAAUUGGUGUAAAACUGCUAUCAACUGCUGCUUGGCUGUUUACAAGUACCUUGGUAUUUCUUCAACAGGU